UGGUGUACUGUAAGGUCUUCAUGGUAAUGUAAUGUGUAUCAGUGAAUAGUGUAUUGAUGGUGUACUGUAAGGUCUUCAUGGUAAUGUAAUGUGUAUCAGUGAAUAGUGUGUUAAUGGUGUACUGUAAGGUCUUCAUGGUAAUGUAAUGUGUAUCAGUGAAUAGUGUAUUGAUGGUGUACUGUAAGGUCUUCAUGGUAAUGUAAUGUGCAUCAGUGAAUAGUGUAUUGAUGGUGUACUGUAAGGUCUUCAUGGUAAUGUAAUGUGUAUCAGUGAAUAGUGUAUUGAUGGUGUACUGUAAGGUCUUC
Oncorhynchus keta (chum salmon) is the source of this 305-nucleotide long non-coding RNA. RefSeq lists it as uncharacterized. NCBI's taxonomy places the organism in Eukaryota, Metazoa, Chordata, Actinopteri, Salmoniformes, Salmonidae. The transcript is spliced from 3 exons. The record is from RefSeq and is a predicted model, not a curated record.